This 237-nucleotide long non-coding RNA is filed under the name Lathyrus oleraceus (garden pea). RNAcentral's name for it is "Pisum sativum (pea) long non-coding RNA (PSAT_LNC009303)". Lineage: Eukaryota; Viridiplantae; Streptophyta; Magnoliopsida; Fabales; Fabaceae. The record is from RNAcentral.
GCACUCAAAGUGGAUAGAAAAUCGUCGUCAUCCGUGGUUAUCAACAAUCUGGCCUGGUCCGAGAAAACCCUCUUGACCACGAAUGAGACACUCAUAAUUGUUUAUCCAUCUGCCCCACGAUCGUCUUGAGGAGGAAGGAUCCUUUUCAACCAAUUCUUCCACGUGGUACGCUCGAGGUCACACUUCUCAGUUAACACCACGCUUCGCUCACUGAGUACAAUUGCCCCAGGUAGAUGC